UUCUUCAUUUCUCUCUUGUGUUUCUAUUCUGUUGUAGAUUCAUGCUGACUCACAUGUGACUUGUCUACCAGCACCAGAUGUGCAUGAUGCUCCCCCUGAAAGUCCUGACCCAAAUUCAACAAUUGGACAGGGCACUGGGUUCAUUACUAGAAUGGCCAGCUUGCUGUUUCCCUUCUCUGUUCUUCCGUAAGAGUCCUGCAAAUUAAAAAAUCCCAACCAUCAUUCCUUGACACAUACAGAGAAGAAUGAAAACGCUGCUUCAGUUUUAA
Cyprinus carpio (common carp) is the source of this 269-nucleotide long non-coding RNA. RefSeq lists it as uncharacterized. The transcript has 3 exons. Lineage: Eukaryota; Metazoa; Chordata; Actinopteri; Cypriniformes; Cyprinidae. The record is from RefSeq and is a predicted model, not a curated record.